CCGGCACUUCCUUUCCGCGCAGCGCCUGGGCGCGCGGGUUCCUCGUGCAGCAUGGCGGGCAGCGGAGGCCCGGGGCUGCGGAGCCCGGCCUGUCCUCGGGCUCUUCCAGGUGCAACUUGUCUCUUGAAGAUGCUUGAACAAAUGUUUUCCAAAAACUUCUCAUGGAAAGUGAUGUAAACAAGCUACCAAGAGGACAGUUGCCAGUAAAAAGCACAUUGGUGGCUGCAGGUGAACGUCCAAUGUCAGUAGCUGUGAUGUUUACAAACACUUCAUUGUUCUGGAUGCGGCACAUGUUUGGAAUGUAAAAUGAAGAAUUGGUCAAGAAACUGAGCAGAAGCAAGUGAUGAGAAUUAGUAUUUUAUUUGAUAGUAAUAAACAAUAAAUUAUGUAGAAAUAAA
Molecule: long non-coding RNA, 398 nt
Organism: Peromyscus eremicus (cactus mouse)
Lineage: Eukaryota; Metazoa; Chordata; Mammalia; Rodentia; Cricetidae
Exons: 4
Source: RefSeq, a predicted model, not a curated record